This 758-nucleotide long non-coding RNA is filed under the name Malus domestica (apple). RNAcentral describes it as "long non-coding RNA (MDOM_LNC005502)". The record is from RNAcentral. Lineage: Eukaryota; Viridiplantae; Streptophyta; Magnoliopsida; Rosales; Rosaceae.
GUUACUCAGUAGGCGGCGAUGCUCUCUAAUGAUGGUGAGGGAGUCCCUUUUAUAUAAUAAGGGCUCGCUCCUCAAUAUAUGAAUAAUGGGCUAGAGUUGAUGGUCUCUAAUGAUGGUGAGGGAGUCCCUUUUAUAAAAUAAGGGUUCGCUCCUCAAUACAUAAAUAAUGGGCUAAAGUCCCCCAAGUAUUUUUUAUGAGUCCCAAUAUAUGGUACAUAGUGUAGUCCCUCAAGUCUUCGAUCAAUAGAGUCUAUUAGCUGGAGACUUCAAAUUGAAUCCAUGUAUGGGCCGAAGUGGCGAUUGUUCGGAAGCGGUAUUUGUAUACCCUGCACUGAAGCUUUGUAGGUGAAGCUUUCUAAGUGAAGCUUUGAAGCUGGAGCUUUUGUAAAUGAAGCUUUUGAAGCUGGAGCUCUGUAAAUGAAGCUUUUGAAGCUGGAGCUCUGUAAAUGAAGCUUUUGAAGCUGGAGCUUUUGUAAAUGAAGCUUUCAAAGCUAGAGCUCUAUAAAUGAAGCUUUUGAAGCUAGAGCUUUGUAAAUGAAGCUUUUGAAGCUGAUUGACAUGAGUGAUGCUCAUGAAUGUUUAUGUAUGAUUGAUAUGAGUAAUUCUCAUGAAUGUUUAUGUAUAAUUGACAUGAGUAAUGCUCAUGUAUAAUUUGAAGUACUGGGCGUACUUUUGAUCACCUAGUGGGUGAUGAUAGCAGCAGGCUGCCGAAUAAUUUUGGAGAACUGGACGUACUUUUGAUCACCUGGUUGGUGAUA